RNAcentral lists this ribosomal RNA (412 nucleotides) under uncultured bacterium. RNAcentral describes it as "bacterial SSU rRNA". It matches the Rfam family "Bacterial small subunit ribosomal RNA", at positions 29 to 429 of the family's 1533-position model. The record is from RNAcentral.
AACGAACGCUGGCGGCGCGCCUAAUACAUGCAAGUCGAGCGAGAAGGUGUAGCAAUACACUUGUAAAGCGGCGAACGGGUGAGGAAUGCAUGGGUAACCUACCCUCGAGUGGGGAAUAACUAGCCGAAAGGUUAGCUAAUACCGCAUACGUUUCCGGAACUUCGGUUUCGGAAAGAAAGCAAUACCGUGGGUAUUGCGCUCCUGGAUGGGCUCAUGUCCUAUCAGCUUGUUGGUGAGGUAACGGCUCACCAAGGCUUCGACGGGGUAGCUGGUCUGAGAGGACGAUCAGCCACACUGGCACUGCGACACGGGCCAGACUCCUACGGGAGGCAGCAGUAAGGAAUAUUGCGCAAUGGACGAAAGUCUGACGCAGCGACGCCGCGUGGGGGAGUGAAGGUCUUCGGAUUGUAAA